AGCGGCAUAGCUCAAUUGGAAGAGUACCUGGUUCUGACCCAGGGGGUUGUUGGUUCGAACCCAGCUGCCGCUGCCA
RNAcentral lists this transfer RNA (76 nucleotides) under Enterocloster bolteae. RNAcentral's name for it is "tRNA-Gln". It matches the Rfam family "tRNA". Rfam says of the family: Transfer RNA (tRNA) molecules are approximately 80 nucleotides in length. Their secondary structure includes four short double-helical elements and three loops (D, anti-codon, and T loops). Further hydrogen bonds mediate the characteristic L-shaped molecular structure. tRNAs have two regions of fundamental functional importance: the anti-codon, which is responsible for specific mRNA codon recognition, and the 3' end, to which the tRNAs corresponding amino acid is attached (by aminoacyl-tRNA synthetases). tRNAs cope with the degeneracy of the genetic code in two manners: having more than one tRNA (with a specific anti-codon) for a particular amino acid; and 'wobble' base-pairing, i.e. permitting non-standard base-pairing at the 3rd anti-codon position. RNAcentral also lists the same sequence under 1 other name. The record is from RNAcentral. Lineage: Bacteria; Bacillati; Bacillota; Clostridia; Lachnospirales; Lachnospiraceae.